CCCGUAGUUGACGACGUGUGUUCAGUGAAAUCGAGUAGGGCGGGACACGUGAUAUCCUGUCUGAAUAUGGGGGGACCAUCCUCCAAGGCUAAAUACUACUGACUGACCGAUAGUGAACCAGUACCGUGAGGGAAAGGCGAAAAGAACCCCUGUGAGGGGAGUGAAAUAGAACCUGAAACCGUGUACGUACAAGCAGUAGGAGCAGGCUUUGUCCUGUGACUGCGUACCUUUUGUAUAAUGGGUCAGCGACUUAUAUUCAGUGGCAAGGUUAACCAUCUAGGGGAGCCGUAGGGAAACCGAGUCUUAACUGGGCGUUCAGUCUCUGGAUAUAGACCCGAAACCAGGUGAUCUAGCCAUGGGCAGGUUGAAGGUUGAGUAACAUCAACUGGAGGACCGAACCGACUAAUGUUGAAAAAUUAGCGGAUGACUUGUGGCUAGGGGUGAAAGGCCAAUCAAACCUGGAGAUAGCUGGUUCUCCCCGAAAGCUAUUUAGGUAGCGCCUCGGACGAAUACUACUGGGGGUAGAGCACUGUUAAGGCUAGGGGGUCAUCCCGACUUACCAACCCUUUGCAAACUCCGAAUACCAGUAAGUACUAUCCGGGAGACACACGGCGGGUGCUAACGUCCGUCGUGGAGAGGGAAACAACCCAGACCGCCAGCUAAGGUCCCAAAUUACUACUAAGUGGGAAACGAUGUGGGAAGGCUCAGACAGCCAGGAUGUUGGCUUAGAAGCAGCCAUCAUUUAAAGAAAGCGUAAUAGCUCACUGGUCGAGUCGGCCUGCGCGGAAGAUGUAACGGGGCUAAGUAGUAAACCGAAGCUGCGGCAAUGUGCUUUUGCACAUUGGGUAGGGGAGCGUUCUGUAAGCGGUUGAAGGUGUGUGGUAACGCAUGCU
Molecule: ribosomal RNA, 893 nt
Filed under: Vibrio parahaemolyticus
Lineage: Bacteria; Pseudomonadati; Pseudomonadota; Gammaproteobacteria; Vibrionales; Vibrionaceae
Description: partial 23S ribosomal RNA
Rfam family: Bacterial large subunit ribosomal RNA
Source: RNAcentral